This 477-nucleotide ribosomal RNA is filed under the name uncultured Nitrobacter sp. RNAcentral's name for it is "bacterial SSU rRNA". It matches the Rfam family "Bacterial small subunit ribosomal RNA", at positions 1 to 523 of the family's 1533-position model. Lineage: Bacteria; Pseudomonadati; Pseudomonadota; Alphaproteobacteria; Hyphomicrobiales; Nitrobacteraceae. The record is from RNAcentral.
CGCCCUUGAGUUUGAUCAUGGCUCAGAGCGAACGCUGGCGGCAGGCUUAACACAUGCAAGUCGAACGGGCGUAGCAAUACGUCAGUGGCAGACGGGUGAGUAACGCGUGGGAACGUACCUUUUGGUUCGGAACAACCCAGGGAAACUUGGGCUAAUACCGGAUAAGCCCUUACGGGGAAAGAUUUAUCGCCGAAAGAUCGGCCCGCGUCUGAUUAGCUUGUUGGUGAGGUAAUGGCUCACCAAGGCGACGAUCAGUAGCUGGUCUGAGAGGAUGAUCAGCCACAUUGGGACUGAGACACGGCCCAAACUCCUACGGGAGGCAGCAGUGGGGAAUAUUGGACAAUGGGCGCAAGCCUGAUCCAGCCAUGCCGCGUGAGUGAUGAAGGCCCUAGGGUUUUUUUGCUCUUUUGUGCGGGAAGAUAAUGACGGUACCGCAAGAAUAAGCCCCGGCUAACUUCGUGCCAGCAGCCGCGGUAC